AGCGGGGGAAAGCUUGCUUUCCUGCCGGCGAGUGGCGAACGGGUGAGUAAUACAUCGGAACGUGCCCUGUAGUGGGGGAUAACUAGUCGAAAGAUUAGCUAAUACCGCAUACGACCUGAGGGUGAAAGUGGGGAACCGCAAAGGGCCUCACGCUAUAGGAGCGGCCGAUGUCUGAUUAGCUAGUUGGUGGGGUAAAGGCCUACCAAGGCGACGAUCAGUAGCUGGUCUGAGAGGACGAUCAGCCACACUGGGACUGAGACACGGCCCAGACUCC
RNAcentral lists this ribosomal RNA (274 nucleotides) under unidentified marine bacterioplankton. Its description in RNAcentral is "partial 16S ribosomal RNA". It matches the Rfam family "Bacterial small subunit ribosomal RNA", at positions 65 to 339 of the family's 1533-position model. The record is from RNAcentral.